ACUUGAAUAGCUUAUUUUAGAGCGUGACAUUGAAGAUGUCAAUGAGGUUGAUUUUACCUUUAAGUA
This 66-nucleotide transfer RNA is filed under the name Parrhinotermes sp. A MW-2019. Its description in RNAcentral is "tRNA-Phe". Lineage: Eukaryota; Metazoa; Arthropoda; Insecta; Blattodea; Rhinotermitidae. The record is from RNAcentral. RNAcentral also lists the same sequence under 1 other name.